GCCUACGGGGGGCAGCAGUCGGGAAUAUUGCGCAAUGGAGGAAACUCUGACGCAGUGACGCCGCGUGCAGGAAGAAGGUUUUCGGAUUGUAAACUGCUUUAGACAGGGAAGAAACAAGACAGUACCUGUAGAAUAAGCUCCGGCUAACUACGUGCCAGCAGCCGCGGUAAUACAUAGGGGGCAAGCGUUAUCCGGAAUUAUUGGGUGUAAAGGGUGCGUAGACGGAGAAACAAGUUGGUUGUGAAAUCCCUCGGCUCAACUGAGGAACUGCAACCAAAACUAUUUCCCUUGAGUGUCGGAGAGGG
Molecule: ribosomal RNA, 305 nt
Filed under: uncultured bacterium
Lineage: Bacteria
Description: bacterial SSU rRNA
Rfam family: Bacterial small subunit ribosomal RNA
Source: RNAcentral